Molecule: non-coding RNA, 311 nt
Organism: Pelobates cultripes (western spadefoot toad)
Lineage: Eukaryota; Metazoa; Chordata; Amphibia; Anura; Pelobatidae
Source: the annotation of a GenBank genome assembly
CCCACGCAGGGGAUAAAGCGUAAACAAUGCAUUCGUUAUGGAAAAACGUGAGUAGUUAUGUGUACAAGUUUAUCAUAUCAUGUUAUAGCUUUAAAAUAUGUUACCCUUUUCAUUUGGUAUCUAGUGCUCACCGCUCAAGGUUAUCUUAUAUGUACUCUGCACCAAACUAUGCAACACAUGUGGCUGGACAUUUAUACGGGCUAAUGGUCUGUCAAAACAAAACAAUCCUCUCAUAACGCACAGCCUGAUGUAGGCCUGUGUUAAUGAUGCAAUUCUGGUAAAAAGAUAUACAUACUACCACAUUAUUAAAC